This 481-nucleotide ribosomal RNA is filed under the name uncultured bacterium. RNAcentral describes it as "partial 16S ribosomal RNA". It matches the Rfam family "Bacterial small subunit ribosomal RNA", at positions 28 to 507 of the family's 1533-position model. The record is from RNAcentral.
GAUGAACGCUGGCGGCGUGCUUAACACAUGCAAGUCGAACGAAGCACUUUAUUUGAUUUCCUUCGGGACUGAUUAUUUUGUGACUGAGUGGCGGACGGGUGAGUAACGCGUGGGUAACCUGCCUUGUACAGGGGGAUAACAGUUGGAAACGGCUGCUAAUACCGCAUAAGCGCACGGCAUCGCAUGAUGCAGUGUGAAAAACUCCGGUGGUAUAAGAUGGACCCGCGUUGGAUUAGCUAGUUGGUGAGGUAACGGCCCACCAAGGCGACGAUCCAUAGCCGACCUGAGAGGGUGACCGGCCACAUUGGGACUGAGACACGGCCCAAACUCCUACGGGAGGCAGCAGUGGGGAAUAUUGCACAAUGGGCUAAAGCCUGAUGCAGCGACGCCGCGUGAGCGAAGAAGUAUUUCGAUAUGUAAAGCUCUAUCAGCAGGGAAGAUAAUGACGGUACCUGACUAAGAAGCACCGGCUAACUACGUG